RNAcentral lists this ribosomal RNA (179 nucleotides) under uncultured bacterium. RNAcentral's name for it is "partial 16S ribosomal RNA". It matches the Rfam family "Bacterial small subunit ribosomal RNA", at positions 1321 to 1500 of the family's 1533-position model. The record is from RNAcentral.
UGAAGUCGGAAUUGCUAGUAAUCGCGGAUCAGCAUGCCGCGGUGAAUACGUUCCCGGGCCUUGUACACACCGCCCGUCACACCAUGGGAGCCGGUAAUACCCGAAGUCAGUAGUCCAACCUCGUGAGGACGCUGCCGAAGGUAGGAUUGGCGACUGGGGUGAAGUCGUAACAAGGUAGC